AACGAACGCUGGCGGCAUGCCUAACACAUGCAAGUCGACCGAUGCCUUCGGGCUUAGUGGCGCACGGGUGCGUAACGCGUUGGAAUCUGCCUUUCGGAUCGGAAUCACUCAGGGAAACUUGAGCUAAUACCGGAUAACAUCGCAAGACCAAAGAUUUAUCACCGAGAGAUUAGCCCGCGUAGAAUUAGCUAGUUUGGGAGGUAAAGGCUAACCAAGUCCAGGAUCCUUAGCUGGACUGAGAGGAUGGUCAGCCACACUAGGAGUGAGACACGGCACAGACUCCUACGGGAGGAAGCAGUGGGAAAUGAUGGACGAUGGGCGAAAGGCUGAACCAAUUAUGCCGGGUGAAUGAAGAAGUCCUGAAGGUUGUAAAGCUCUUUUACCCAGGAAGAUAAUGACGGUACCGGGAGAAUAAGCCCCGGCUAACUCCGUG
This 433-nucleotide ribosomal RNA is filed under the name uncultured bacterium. Its description in RNAcentral is "partial 16S ribosomal RNA". It matches the Rfam family "Bacterial small subunit ribosomal RNA", at positions 29 to 507 of the family's 1533-position model. The record is from RNAcentral.